Monomorium pharaonis (pharaoh ant) is the source of this 1068-nucleotide long non-coding RNA. RefSeq lists it as uncharacterized. Lineage: Eukaryota; Metazoa; Arthropoda; Insecta; Hymenoptera; Formicidae. The record is from RefSeq and is a predicted model, not a curated record. The transcript is spliced from 2 exons.
UGUAAUUUUAUAAUUUAACAUUUUACUUUAGCAUUUCAAAAAAGUAACGAAAAAAGUAACGAAUCGUUACUUUCUAAGUACGGUAACUCGUUACUUUUUAAAAUAAGUAACGAGUAACGGUAACGAGUUACUUUUUACAAAAAGUAACGGUAACGGUAACGCGUUACUUUUUUAAGGUAACGUUCCCAACCCUGGUAAUAAUCAAAUUAUUUAUGUCGUACUUUUUAGGUUACCUGCUAUAAACUCACGGAACUCGCAACCAGGGGCUGUAAUCUCUUAUGUAUUUUUCGUGACCAGCGUUUGUUGCGCCACCGCUGUAAGCGAAUUCGCCGAACCGAACUAAAAUGCAAUAUGGCCGUCUAAAAUCAACAUGGCCGUAGUAAUAAGUUCCGUUCAACAAGCAAAGUAAAGUGAAGCAAAGCUUACGAGCGAAGAAGGAGGUUAUUUCUUACGAACGGAAUAAUUUAAAACUGAUGACACCAGUAGCUGUUCCAAUUUGUACACCAGCCUUCGACGCCAUAUAGAAUAAAGAUGCUGUCAGAGGAGUUAGAUGAGGGAGCUACAAUUAUAACCAAGAAAAAGCAAUCUGUGAUCACAUUACUUAGCUUCGACAAACGAUGACCUAAGUUCAACUGAUUGUAGGCUCUUUCUUACGUCCACGUGGAAUCAGCUGCUCCUUCGCAACUUGCAACAGGCUAAGGCUGCGUUCCGAUAUUAAUUGUCAGUACUGAAAAUCUACAGUAUAUGUGACGUAAACUAUAGAUUUUCAGUACUGGCAGUGAAUAUCGAAACGCAGCCUAAGUUACGAAGAAGCAGCUGAUUCCACAUGAACGUAAGAAAGAGGCUACAAUCAGUUGAACUUUGGUCAUCGUUUGUCGAAGCUAAUGGGUGUCAAGACAAAUCACUUGAAUGCAAACUACUUUCCAGUAUGUUGUAGCAUAAGAAAGCAAGAAAAUUGUAUUGGAGGAGAAACAACGUGAUUUAGAGAAUAAGGUGCUCUGUCACAUAGAAUGUAAUUCUAUUAUAAAAGCAUGUAAUGGUUCCAUAAAAUAAAUAAGUUCAAAAAAU